AAUUAGAAUAUGUUUUAGUUUUAAGUUGGUAUGAAGUUUAUAAUUAAAGAUUUAUAAGUUUAUAAGUAAUAAAGGUUUGAAAUUAAAGGUUGAAGUUUAAACUGUAAAGGAGAAUUUUGGUUUAGGUAUAAGAAUUAAGUGAGUACCUUUUGUAUCAGGGAAUUAUAAUAUUAAAUUGUAUAAGUAAAUCUCGAAUUAAAAGGGGCUAAUACUUUAUUUUUUGGUAAUGUAGAAUAAUUACAUAAAAGAUUAAUUAGAAUGAAAUGUAAUACGAUUUUUAAGAUAUCUAGUUUUUGGGGAAUCAAUUUAAUUGAGUUGUUGGAAUUAAUUAUAGUAAUUUUUUACUUAUCGUUAUUCAGCAAAAUAUAUUGAUUGGGAUAAGCUGAUUAAGUUAGUAUAAAUUGGUAAGUUGAUUUUUGGUUUAGGAUUUAAGAUUUUUAAAGUAGUUUGUUGUAAUUAAAAAAAAUUAUUAGGGGAUUUAAGUAAUUUUACGUGAAGUUUUCGGGAACAGUAUUAACUUGAAGUAAUUGUUUAUAAUGUUAUUAUUAGUAGAGUUAAAAGUUAAAUUUAAAGAAUUAGGCAAAAAUCAAAUUUCACCUGUUUAUCAAAAACAUCUUUUUUUGGUUUAAUAUGAGAUUAGUUCUGCCCAAUGAAUUAUUAAAUGGCCGCAGUAUUUUGACUGUGCAAAGGUAGCAUAAUCAUUAGUUUAUUAAUUGUAAGCUGGAAUGAAUGAAUUGAUGAAAAUUUUACUUUUUUGGAUUUAGAUUUUGAAUUUUAUUAUUCAUUUAAAAAGAUGAAAUAUAUUUAAAAGACGAGAAGACCCUAUAGAGUUUUACAUAAGACUAUACUUAUAGAGGUCAAUAGUUGGUGUUUAGUUGGGGUAAUAUCUAUAAAAUAAUAUUUAUAGAAUUUUAUUAACUUAUUUGAAGGUAUCUAUGAACCUAGAAGGAUUAUUAGAUUAAAUUACCUUAGGGAUAACAGUGUAAUAUAAUUUUGAAGUUCUCAUUUAAAAUUAUGUUUGCAACCUCGAUGUUGAAUUAAGGAUUCUGUUUAAAGUAUCAUUUAAAUGAGAAAGUCUGUUCGACUUUUAAAUUCUUACAUGAUUUGAGUUCAGACCGGCGUGAGCCAGGUCGGUUUCUAUCUUUAAAAAAAGAAAUUUUUUAGUACGAGAGGACCAGAAAUUUUAAAUAAUUU
RNAcentral lists this ribosomal RNA (1194 nucleotides) under Zorotypus medoensis. Its description in RNAcentral is "16S ribosomal RNA". The stretch from base 805 to 1147 matches the Rfam family "Archaeal large subunit ribosomal RNA", at positions 2153 to 2718 of the family's 2987-position model. Lineage: Eukaryota; Metazoa; Arthropoda; Insecta; Zoraptera; Zorotypidae. The record is from RNAcentral.